CGCCAAGGUCUCCAUCACCUCUUUGUUGGUAGGAUUUUUUGUUUUGUUUUUUUAUAAAAUGACGACGGAGUCACACCAAAACCCUUACCCCUCACACGACCGAAUACUCAGAACAUUUAGUACUCGACUAAGUACGCUCCUGCAAUCCUGGACCUCGGUUGAAGGGGUUUGGGAUAAAGUCUCCUGAAAUAUUAUUAGAGGAGAUUAAAAAUGAAUUAUAUGUCUAACAAAAUUUUCGAUAUAAUUAAAG
Molecule: long non-coding RNA, 250 nt
Filed under: Lathyrus oleraceus (garden pea)
Lineage: Eukaryota; Viridiplantae; Streptophyta; Magnoliopsida; Fabales; Fabaceae
Description: Pisum sativum (pea) long non-coding RNA (PSAT_LNC025657)
Source: RNAcentral